UACGGAAGGUGCAAGCGUUGUUCGGAGUGACUGGGCGUAAAGCGCACGUAGGCGGGUCUAUAAGUCGAUUGUGAAAGCCCUGGGCUCAACCUAGGAAUUGCAGUCGAAACUGUAGAUCUUGAAUGCUCGAGAGGUUGGUGGAAUUCCUGGUGUAGGAGUGAAAUCCGUAGAUAUCAGGAGGAACAUCGGAGGCGAAGGCGGCCAACUGGCGAUGCAUUGACGCUAAGGUGCGAAAGCGUGGGUAGCAAACAGG
Molecule: ribosomal RNA, 253 nt
Filed under: uncultured bacterium
Lineage: Bacteria
Description: partial 16S ribosomal RNA
Rfam family: Bacterial small subunit ribosomal RNA
Source: RNAcentral